GUGCUCACUUUGGCAGCACAUAUACUAAAAUUGAAAUGAUACAGAGAGUAGCAUGGCCCCUGCACAGGGAUGACUUGCAAAUUUGUGAAGUGUUCCAUAAAAAA
Cercocebus atys (sooty mangabey) is the source of this 104-nucleotide small nuclear RNA. Lineage: Eukaryota; Metazoa; Chordata; Mammalia; Primates; Cercopithecidae. The record is from Ensembl.